GCUAUAAUGUGUGCAUAGCUUUAAUCUGUGUCUGGUAGCAGUGUCUGUCUGUGUUUUGCAUUCAGAUGUUGUUACUCACACAUAAUGUCAUGCAGCCAAAGAAUAACAUGGGAUCAUAGUACUGGUCUAGUGUUGUCUCUUUGGACAUAACCACCACUGGCCAGCCUCCAAACUCCCAUACACAA
Oryctolagus cuniculus (rabbit) is the source of this 185-nucleotide small nucleolar RNA. NCBI's taxonomy places the organism in Eukaryota, Metazoa, Chordata, Mammalia, Lagomorpha, Leporidae. The record is from Ensembl.